This 723-nucleotide long non-coding RNA is filed under the name Carica papaya (papaya). RNAcentral's name for it is "long non-coding RNA (CPAP_LNC003634)". The record is from RNAcentral. Lineage: Eukaryota; Viridiplantae; Streptophyta; Magnoliopsida; Brassicales; Caricaceae.
CCAUAUAUAAAUUGAACUAAACAUAUAUAAUCAUCGUCAAUAGCUACACUAACAUAAAUUAUAAAAGCGUAAACACAACUUGAAACUAACCAUUUAGAUAAAAAAUUUGAGAACUUCAUUCUAAAUAUUCAAUCAGCUCUAGAUCAAAAUUAGUUUUUACUGUUACAAAAUCUAAUGAAAUGCUCACAGAAAAAUUAGCAAAUGACAUAAAAGCUCAGGAGAGAAGACCAGCCUGAUGGUGUUCUUUCCUACUCUAUUGCUUCUCCUUCCUCAUCCCUAGCCUGCAAUCCCACAAUCUAGACGCUCAAAAAAUCCCUAAGCUUUUAUCUCUCAAUCCCUUUGUCCCAGUGUACCCUUUCUUUCUCCAUUCCUUUGCUUUGGUUGGUUGGUAAUCCUUCGCUGAGUUUCCUUGAAGAACGCAGGCUCUCUCCCUAAAACCCAAACGAAAUCCAGCAAACCCGAAUACCUCUAGUAUUCUUCCCAAACAAUAACCCGGAACCAGAAAAACUUCCUACAAUUCCCCAAAAAUUCCUCUGAAAGACUUCGUGUGUUGAUUCUAUUCUUCCCGUUCGUCAAUUUCCUAAAAAUAUUCAAUUCCAGAACGAGCAUUUCAUAUCAGUUUACAGAACCACGCCGUAAAGGCUAUAGUUAAGCUGGAGAGCGCAAAUAAAACACUAUCAGCAGCAAUUGUACAGAUUCACUAAUACACUAUAUGGACANNNN